This 497-nucleotide ribosomal RNA is filed under the name uncultured bacterium. Its description in RNAcentral is "partial 16S ribosomal RNA". It matches the Rfam family "Bacterial small subunit ribosomal RNA", at positions 28 to 507 of the family's 1533-position model. The record is from RNAcentral.
GAUGAACGCUGGCGGCGUGCCUAAUACAUGCAAGUCGAGCGAACGGACGAGAAGCUUGCUUCUCUGAUGUUAGCGGCGGACGGGUGAGUAGCACGUGGAUAACCUACCUAUAAGACUGGGAUAACUUCGGGAAACCGGAGCUAAUACCGGAUAAUAUUUUGAACCGCAUGGUUCAAAAGUGAAAGACGGUCUUGCUGUCACUUAUAGAUGGAUCCGCGCUGCAUUAGCUAGUUGGUAAGGUAACGGCUUACCAGGGCAACGAUGCAUAGCCGACCUGAGAGGGUGAUCGGCCACACUGGAACUGAGACACGGUCCAGACUCCUACGGGAGGCAGCAGUAGGGAAUCUUCCGCAAUGGGCGAAAGCCUGACGGAGCAACGCCGCGUGAGUGAUGAAGGUCUUCGGAUCGUAAAACUCUGUUAUUAGGGAAGAACAUAUGUGUAAGUAACUGUGCACAUCUUGACGGUACCUAAUCAGAAAGCCACGGCUAACUACGUG